RNAcentral lists this ribosomal RNA (287 nucleotides) under Bacteroides fragilis str. 34-F-2 #13. RNAcentral describes it as "partial 23S ribosomal RNA". It matches the Rfam family "Bacterial large subunit ribosomal RNA", at positions 2623 to 2925 of the family's 2925-position model. Lineage: Bacteria; Pseudomonadati; Bacteroidota; Bacteroidia; Bacteroidales; Bacteroidaceae. The record is from RNAcentral.
GAGACAGUUCGGUCUCUAUCUAUCGUGGGCGUAUGAAAUUUGCGUGGCUCUGACACUAGUACGAGAGGACCGUGUUGGACUGACCUCUGGUUUACCGGUUGUGCCGCCAGGUGCAUUGCCGGGUAUCUAAGUCGGGAUUGGAUAAGUGCUGAAAGCAUCUAAGUACGAAGCCAGCCACAAGAUUAGAUUUCUUUCUGGGUCGUUGUAGACUACAACGUUGAUAGGACGCAGGUGUACAGGUGGUAACAUCACAGCCGAGCGUUACUAAUUGCCCGAUGACUUUCUUU